Molecule: ribosomal RNA, 460 nt
Filed under: uncultured bacterium
Lineage: Bacteria
Description: partial 16S ribosomal RNA
Rfam family: Bacterial small subunit ribosomal RNA
Source: RNAcentral
CCUACGGGUGGCAGCAGUGAGGAAUAUUGGUCAAUGGGCGCGAGCCUGAACCAGCCAAGUAGCGUGAAGGAUGACUGCCCUACGGGUUGUCAACUUCUUUUAUAAAGGAAUAAAGUGAGGCACGUGUGCCUUUUUGUAUGUACUUUAUGAAUAAGGAUCGGCUAACUCCGUGCCAGCAGCCGCGGUAAUACGGAGGAUCCGAGCGUUAUCCGGAUUUAUUGGGUUUAAAGGGAGCGUAGAUGGGUUGACAAGUUAGUAGCGCAACUCCGGAGCUCAACUUCGGAACUACUACUAAAACUGUUGGACUUGAGUGCAGGAGGGGCAAUCGGAAUUACUAGUGUAGCGGUGGAAUGCGUAGAUAUUAGGAGGAACACCAGUGGCGAAGGCGGAUUGCUAGACUGUAACUGACACUGAGGCACGAAAGCGUGGGGAGCAAACAGGAUUAGAUACCCGAGUAGUC